This 1264-nucleotide ribosomal RNA is filed under the name Igernella notabilis. RNAcentral describes it as "small subunit ribosomal RNA". It matches the Rfam family "Bacterial small subunit ribosomal RNA". Lineage: Eukaryota; Metazoa; Porifera; Demospongiae; Dendroceratida; Dictyodendrillidae. The record is from RNAcentral.
AUUCCUUUAAUUUUGGGGAAAUAUAAAGCAAGCGGCACUAAAAUACAUGCUAGGGGUUUAUAAUAAUAAACUUAAUUUUAUAUUAAAAACAAAUUAAGUUUGUUAUAAAUGCCCGAAAAGGUGAGUAAUAUUUUUAUUUUAAAAAAUUUAAAUAAAAGUCGUAUUAGGUAUAAGAGAUUUCUUGCCGAAGAUGCGUAGCAAGAGAGCCACACUUUAUGAAAAAAGAAGCUUUGCAGCAGUAAAUAAUUUUGUGCAAUGUAUGAAAGUAUGACACAGAGAUGUCGCCUAUAACUGUCAAAUUACGUGCCAGCAGACGCGGCCAUACGUAAAGUUAAAGUUUUAUAAAGAGGCGUAAAGGGCGCGUAGUGGUAGAGAUUUAAAGAGGUAACUGGUAUGUUUAUAAAGCGGUAAAAUGUAUAUAUAAAAUAGAACACCAAAGGUGAAAACAAGUUGCUAUUUAAGUAAAAGCCCCUAAAACUUUUAAAUUUUUAGUUUUUUUAUUAGUUUUCUAAUAUUUUUAUUCAAUAAAAAUAUUAAUAAUUUUUUUAAUUAAAUAGAAAAUUAAAAUAAUUAAUAAAUUAGAAUAUUAAUCUGUCGAUGAAGCGCGAAAGUAUUGGGAAUAAACGGGAUUAGAUACCCCGGUAAUCAAUACUGUAAACAAUGAAUAUGAAAAAUCUCAAUUUUUGAUAUAACUAAAAUAUUCCGCCUGGAGAUUACGACCGCAAGGUUAAAAUUCAAAAAAUUUGGCGGUUCACUGUCUAAUUAGAGGAGCGUGUAUUUUAAUACGAUGGUGCGCGUGAAACCUUACCAAAACUUGUAUAUUUAAAGAGUGUUUAUUUUAAUAAUAAAUUAUUUUUAAUAAAUAAACAGGUAUUGCAUGGCCGUCAUCAGUUUUUUUUGUGAGGAAAAAACAUAACCCCUAAUAUUAUUUACAUGUUAAUAUAAAGGGAUGAUGUCCGGUCCUUAUGGUCCUUAUGUUUUGGGCAAUAUAUGCGCUACAAUUUCUUAUGAAAAUAAGAGUCAAAUUAAUUCUGAAAUGAAUUAUGAAGUUGGAUUUAAUAGUAAUCGAGAAAAGACGAUCUCGGUGAAUACGGCGCCAGUGUUCGUACAAAUCGCCCGUCAACUUCUUUUAAUAUUGAUGUUUUAAAAGUUUAAAAAUAAAUAAAUUCUAAUUAAUUUAAAUAAUUUUUAGAAUAAAAACCUGAGAAUAAGAUGAAGUAAGUCGUAACAUAGUGAGGGUAUUGGAAAAUGUUCUCGGACCAAG